AAGACUAUAGACCUGCGGAGUACCUGCGGAGGGAUCAUUACAGAGUUCAUGCCCUCACGGGUAGAUCUCCCACCCUUGAAUACUAUACCUUUGUUGCUUUGGCGGGCCGCUUUGGCUACUGGCUCUGGCUAGUAAGUGCUCGCCAAAGAACCCCAAAACUCUGAAUAUUAGUGUCGUCUGAGUACUAUAUAAUAGUUAAAACUUUCAGCAAUGGAUCUCU
RNAcentral lists this unclassified non-coding RNA (220 nucleotides) under soil metagenome. RNAcentral describes it as "partial contains 5.8S ribosomal RNA, internal transcribed spacer 2, and large subunit ribosomal RNA". The record is from RNAcentral.